AAAAUCUGGAAAGCGCGUUAUCAUUAAUUAAAAAAAUUACAGUUUUGUGAUAAAAGAUCUGCAUCAAAAAAUGCAUCAUUUAAGACUCAGGAAGAAAAUAGAAACUAAUAGAAUAGCACCAAAUUGAAUCGUUAUGAUGAUGACUGAAAAAAAAUAUAUCACAGCUGAUGCUCGAUCGCAUCUCCAAAGGAAUAAACGAGAAAGUUGAAAAAUUUGGAGUGUUCAGACAAGCGAUUUUCAAUUUCGCAUACGAGUACAAGCUCAAAUGGACGAAACGUGGCUAUAUGAGACACCUUUGUUCAAUUAUUACAUUUUCCUCGUUAUUUCGCCUCGUUAUUGUCACGCAGGGAUACGGUCUCACGGAAACGUGCUCAGGAGCCACAGUUAUGGACAGUAAGCAUAAAAUCUGUUGUAUAUUCUUAAAUUAUAUAUUUAAUAAAUAAUCGAUAAAAUAAAAGAAAUAAUAUACGUUUUGAGAAAAAUUUACACAGUUUUCCUACCGAUGCAGCUUAAGUUGCUAAAUCUAUCAACUGUGUUUUACCAUUUAUAAUCCUAUUCGAAGCUUUGUCUUCGAAAUAUAACUUAUAUAAAAACAUUUUUUAUUAUUAGUGUACAAUAGAAGCACAGAAAGAGUCGGAGUUCCUACGGUUAUCUGUGACAUAAGAGUGGAAAAUUAGGAAGAAAGGGAAUUACAGAGUAACGCAUACACCUAACCCGAGAGGCUGGUUUUACAAACUUCCGGACCAAACAAAAGAGAACUUCUUUGAGGAGAAUGGCAGAUAAUGGUUCAGAACAGGCGACAUUGGGGAAUUGCAUCCGGAUGGAAGCAUGACGAUUAUCGAUCAAAAGAAGGAUUUAGUCAAAUUGCUAUUGGGAGAGUGCGUAUCACUCGGUAAUAUCGAAGCUGAAUUGGAGACUUGUCCCGCCGUGGAAAAUAUCUGCGUCUAUGGAAACGCUUUCAAGGUGUACACAGUUGCUCUUGUCGUACCGAGUCCUUGCAGCCUUGAAGAAAUUGCAGCUAAUCUUAAUAGAUUACAACGAAGAAUCUUGAAGAAUUGUGCGUUCCGUAUAAAUCAAAUUUUCGAAUGGAUGAGGUAAACUACAGAGAUUCGAAAUCCCGGAAGUUGUGAAGCUCUGUCCAGAGCAGUGGUCACCGGACAUGGAUCUGGUAACGACUACUUUCAAACUGAAACGAAAAGCUGUCCAAGAGCGUUAUCAGCACGAAAUAAAUCGGAUGUACGCCUCUUGAUGUUACGGCAAAAAAUGCGCAAAGUGUAACGUCCAGCGUAUACGCAAACGUAGUAAUUUGGAAGUUCGACGUCGCGGAGGAGAAAAAGAAAAAAAGAUCAACAAACAUAACGCCAGUCGACGCAUAGAUCUCUCAGCGUGUCCUGAAUAAGCAAUGUUGAAAUUCAUAAACAUCGGCGAUACUUAUGACAAACGAAAAUACGCGAUCGCCCUCGAUUCACUUGGUACCGUGGAUGUGUACGUGUAAUCCCCGAGCAGAAGCUUGACCGAUACAUUUUGGGGCUCUAAGGCAGCAGCUGUCACCGAAAUCACAGUUCCAAGAGAAAUAGUACCAAAGGGGGUCAAAACGACCCCGAAUU
RNAcentral lists this long non-coding RNA (1607 nucleotides) under Venturia canescens. RNAcentral's name for it is "uncharacterized LOC122406114, transcript variant X1". The record is from RNAcentral. Lineage: Eukaryota; Metazoa; Arthropoda; Insecta; Hymenoptera; Ichneumonidae.